Molecule: ribosomal RNA, 301 nt
Filed under: uncultured bacterium
Lineage: Bacteria
Description: partial 16S ribosomal RNA
Rfam family: Bacterial small subunit ribosomal RNA
Source: RNAcentral
CAGUCGCCGCGGUAAUACGGAGGGAGCUAGCGUUGUUCGGAAUUACUGGGCGUAAAGCGCGCGUAGGCGGUUACUCAAGUCAGAGGUGAAAGCCCGGGGCUCAACCCCGGAACUGCCUUUGAAACUAGGUGACUAGAAUCUUGGAGAGGUCAGUGGAAUUCCGAGUGUAGAGGUGAAAUUCGUAGAUAUUCGGAAGAACACCAGUGGCGAAGGCGACUGACUGGACAAGUAUUGACGCUGAGGUGCGAAAGCGUGGGGAGCAAACAGGAUUAGAGACCCCUGUAGUCCCUGUCUCUUAUAC